Molecule: transfer RNA, 67 nt
Filed under: Entemnotrochus adansonianus
Lineage: Eukaryota; Metazoa; Mollusca; Gastropoda; Pleurotomariida; Pleurotomariidae
Description: tRNA-Phe
Source: RNAcentral
GUUGGGGUAGCUUAUAUUUAGAGCGUGGCACUGAAGUUGCUGAAGAGAAAGGUUAUUUCCCCUCACG